Chrysemys picta bellii (western painted turtle) is the source of this 157-nucleotide unclassified non-coding RNA. The record is from Ensembl. Lineage: Eukaryota; Metazoa; Chordata; Testudines; Emydidae.
GAGAUUGUCGGACAGUGAAGGACUCUGUUUACCCAUGGAACAGGUACAGUAUGUUGCUUCCCUUACACUGCCUGCACCCUGAGCUGGAGGGAGGGCCCAUUGCUAGGGGUCAGAGGGCAGUGCAGUCUCCAUGGCUCCCAUUCAAUCCUUGGCUUCU